This 654-nucleotide ribosomal RNA is filed under the name uncultured bacterium. Its description in RNAcentral is "bacterial SSU rRNA". It matches the Rfam family "Bacterial small subunit ribosomal RNA", at positions 8 to 640 of the family's 1533-position model. The record is from RNAcentral.
AGAGUUUGAUCCUACGCUCAGAUUGAACGCUGGCGGCAGGCCUAACACAUGCAAGUCGAACGGUAGCACAGAGAGCUUGCUCUCGGGUGACGAGUGGCGGACGGGUGAGUAAUGUCUGGGAAACUGCCUGAUGGAGGGGGAUAACUACUGGAAACGGUAGCUAAUACCGCAUAACGUCGCAAGACCAAAGAGGGGGACCUUCGGGCCUCUUGCCAUCGGAUGUGCCCAGAUGGGAUUAGCUUGUUGGUGAGGUAACGGCUCACCAAGGCGACGAUCCCUAGCUGGUCUGAGAGGAUGACCAGCCACACUGGAACUGAGACACGGUCCAGACUCCUACGGGAGGCAGCAGUGGGGAAUAUUGCACAAUGGGCGCAAGCCUGAUGCAGCCAUGCCGCGUGUAUGAAGAAGGCCUUCGGGUUGUAAAGUACUUUCAGCGAGGAGGAAGGCGGUAAGGUUAAUAACCUUAUCGAUUGACGUUACUCGCAGAAGAAGCACCGGCUAACUUCGUGCCAGCAGCCGCGGUAAUACGGGAGGGUGCAAGCGUUAAUCGGAAUUACUGGGGCGUAAAGCCGCAACGCAGGCGGGUCUGUCAAGUCGGAUGGUGAAAUCCCCCGGGGCUUCAACCUGGGAAACUGCAUUUCGAAAACUGGCAGG